Molecule: long non-coding RNA, 6049 nt
Organism: Anas platyrhynchos (mallard)
Lineage: Eukaryota; Metazoa; Chordata; Aves; Anseriformes; Anatidae
Source: RefSeq, a predicted model, not a curated record
UAUUUCCUAUUAUUAUUCUAACAAUACAAGAAUAAUAGCAGGGAGAAUACUGUUCUCACAGAGUAAGAAUAACGUGCCUGUUUCUAAGCUGUUUGAAUCUAUGCAUUAAUAAAAUUAAACUUUUUCAAACAAAGUGUUUUACCAUCAAACAUAUCAUAAGAAUGAAAGAAUCGAGAAACUCCACCUUUUCUCUUUCUCUCCUGAAGUAACUACAGAAAAUAAACUUAUCAGUUAUUCUCAGAAAGAUACUAAAUGGUACUAAAAAUUAUUGUUAAUAUUUCACUGCUGGGCACACUGAAGCAGAAGAGGUUAAAGCUUAUGCCACACUGUUCAAGAUGCACUCAUUUAGCAAGCACUUACUGCCAUAUCCAGCAGAGCUAUUCAUAUCACCAUAGGUAUCUCAGCUGAGAAGCACCUAGCGCUUAGCUACCCCUGUGCUCCACUAGCAGCUGCAGUGCCAAGCGCUAUGUCUGUUCAAAUAAAUCCCAAACUUACCAUUGGAAUUCACACCUUGAGCUAUAUUUUGGGAGCCAAGGCAAAAUAUCAUAGUGAUACUUAAAUUCAGUAUUUCAUUUUUAUUCAAGAAGAAAAUUUCAAUGUGCCUAGAAGACAUAUUGUAACCUGACAUCCACCAAAGCAUUCCACCCAGGGCCUGCUUACAUAUUACGUAUUAAAGGGAUGUUAGAUAUUAUCAUUUUAGGAAGAGAAAUACACCAGAAUGUCUACCUUCCCUUGAGAAGUAUUUUCUAACAGCUGAAGCACAAACCAGAUACUUUCUUGCUUGCUCUCUUCCACUUCUUGCAUUCCUAAGGAUACAUACAUUCAACAAGAGGGACAGAGGGCAUUUCCAUCGGAUGCCACUCUACAGUCUGCUUGUCAAGGAAAGGUCACAGCAGAAGGAAGAGCUGUAGAGUCUGACACGCUCAAGGUAUCAAGACUGCAGUAUCCAGCUUCAAGAUUUGUAACACCUCCUUCUGCUGAAGGCAGCUCUGCUCCCCUAAGCCAGGCAUCAGGCAGUCAACCCAACAGGAGAGCACGUGGAGCGAGGACAGCAGGAUAUUAAUCCUGUCAUCCAUUACAGAGUUGCUUGUAUCUCUCUUCUCUCCACAGAUAAUUCUGGUACGCCUCCUCCUCCUCCCUGGCCCCAAACUCAACUACUUCAGCGUGGUAAGUGAGGUUCAGUAAGGUGAAUCUGGAUCUGAAUUUCUACUUCAUAUAAUCAUGCAAGAGCUUAUGCUAUCGGGAAGCAACUUUAUGCAUAUACUUCCUAUUACAUGUUAUUAAAUUUUAAAGAGACCACCAUUAGCAAAGGAAAUUUUUGAGCCACUCUGCUGUAGUCCUGAGUACAGAGGUACCACUGACCAAAACACAUCACUUGCCUGACGUUUAUAUUCCUCCUCUAGCAUCCAUUUCCGGCGUGUGCCAGAAUCGGGGUACUGAGCUAAAUGGCUCUUUGAUACAUCUUUUUCCAUGUUCCUAGAUCGUGUCUAAUACCAGUUACAAAGAGAAAUAGCUCACACUAAGGCCUAAGAGCAGAAUAACAUUGCUAAUAAUCAAAACAACAACAACAACAAAAUCUUCUGUCUCCCUAUUUUAAGAUACUUUUGUUAUAAAUGAACGUAAUGGAAUAGUAGCUUGGUGUAAUAAAAAUAUACUUCUAAUAACGUGUGUAAUUCUGUAUAAUUGAGGGAAGCUAAUGAAUUAGCCUUUAGUAUGAAGGCUGAACAUUACCUUCUGAAGUAAGGUAAUGAACAGAGUGUGCUUAUACAACUUCAGAAGUCUGAAGAUUUGACUAAGGUUUUGUUAAGCACAGAGGUACAAGCUCGUGGCCAGUGAGUGCUGAGCUUUCUGUACAGCAUCAGGAGCAAUGAGGCCUCCAACACUUAUUUCACUUUAUCAGAUCUUUCUCUUUCCGGUUUGAAAUGUGAAGUUCAGCAUCUGGGCAAGGUAUCGGUCUCUCUGAUGGAAAUAUCAUUUCAUACCUAAAAGGCACAGCAAAACUGUAAAAUGCAGGUAAGGCAUUGGUGAUGAGCACUGUGCAGCAGAGAAGAAAAAAGUGGUGUAGAAAAGCAUGAAAAUAAGAUACCUCCGAUCUCCAGCCAUGAUAGAAUUUUAACACAAGGUAAGUCCGAGGCUUCUUGUAUUUCGUUCUGUUCUCUUUACAUAUUUUUCUACCCCAAAUUUACACAAAUUUACUUUUCUUAUAUUCCACCCUGACAUAUAAAUGUUUGGUCCCAUUGAUAGGAAAGCAUUACUGAGCUGUGAAACUGCAGGCAGUGGAAAGCAUGAACUAAAUAAACAGGGUAAAUAAAAAGCCUGAUGUAAUAACAUUCUGGGUGUUAAAAUGUCUUCAUGCUCAAGACAAUCCAAGGAAAAUAUAAAACAAGCAAAUAAAAAGCAUCUGCUUUAAAGCACCUCAACUUUUCUGUGACUGCAGGAGAAUUAACAGGCAGCCUGCACUGCACAGUUCACCAUUGCAACCGCUGACUUGUUGGGAAGAACCAGAAGCAUGAAUCCCUUUAAACAGAUGGUCAUGUUGCUUCAAUCCAGCAAGUCUUCAGGACAGACCUACUCCUGUCUUCAGACACUUGAGUAAUCUCACUUAAUGCCAUCCAGCAAAGACCACUGAGCUACUAGUCAGGGAAGUAACAAGUUUUGGCCAUCAGGUACUAGCUACUGGCAGCUACUCAGAGAGGCAUUUCUUUUUUUCAGCAUCCUUGCUUGAUAACUGAAGAUCAGAGCAAUCUAAUAUUCAUAAGAUAGAAAAUGCUAUUUUCUGUUAUUAUUGUACUUGCAGGUAUUGUACUCCAGGUGAAGGGAUGCCAUUUCUCUGUAAAACCCCUUGACUUUUAUCACUGCUUCGGGGAGCUUGAAAGCCAGAUUAAAAAAAAAAGUCAAUAAAAUAGGCAAGUACGUAUUUUUGUGACUUUCUCAAGCAAUAGGGGAAAUAAUAACCAUCAGGUUUAAAGAUUAAUUUUGAAUGAAAUGCUUACAGGCAAAUAGAUAUGAAAGCUGCAUUAAAUCAUGUGCUGCUUGUUUUUAGUAUGCUUCACAAGGGCAUGGAAUUUUGUAACCAAAUCAAUUUCUACACUGUAUCUUAAAUUCUAUUAUUUUUAUUAAUCUAUUCAAAAAGGAGUUGGAAAUAACUAAGGCAGCAAUUGGAUAUUGCAGUCUAAUCAGAUUUCAUUUUGAUGUUAAAAAAGAUGAAGGCUUAAAAGAAAAUUCUUAAGCAAAUGGGACAAAUAAAAUUUCCAUAUGUAUUAUGAUUGUGGAGAUUUUCAUGCCUGUAUAGCAGAGGAACUACUUGUUGUAUUUUGUUAUCCUGAAAUUAGGAUCUUCAUUUAGUUUGUGUGUCAUGUAGACUUGCCAAGGAAAUAAAUUUGCCAUUUACAGAUAGCUCUGUGCACCUGGAAUGACUUACAGCCUUCAACCACAGAUGCCAUUCUGAUAUCCUUAUUCUACUUACACAGCACUUUACUCAGUAUGUAAUUAACUCAGCAGCAUAAAAAAUGACCAUUUUUUUCCCCUGGAUUUGAGUGAUUCUUAGACAGAUACCGAAAUUAUAAAUAACAAAUUAAGUCUUCCUUGACUUGGUGAGGAAACAGGAGGAAGAGGAUAUUCUCCAUGACUGUCAGCAAAUCUCUCCAAAUGAAAAGCAAAAAACACUUCCACUGAUGUGUUCCACGUAUCUGUGAUUCUAUAACCCAUUUUGAAUUGUUUCCAGGAUCAAAAGAUAUAUUUUUAUCAAUUUUAUGCUUUCUACUUAGAAAAUUAAAAUAUUUUAUUAGGCAAUUCUAUAAAUAUGCUUGCCAUUUUAAAUACCCACUGUUUUAAACUAAAGCUAUGGAAUACACUUAACUCCUUAAGGAUAGUAAUUACAUCCAGUCAGUGACAACUUCUCAAAGCUUCCGGAACCCCUACUUAGGACAAAUCCCUGUGCUAGCUUUGUAAAUUGGCACAAAAAUACCAGCAUUCAGUACAAUGAAUCCAGAAGGUGAGGUAAACAGUCCAUCACCUGUACUGCACGUUGUUAAAUAUCCAUUUUCAGGGACACACGGAACCCUUAAUCCAUUCACCCAGAUGAAGGGCUUUGUUACGAUUAUAUCUGUAUUUAUGAAACUAGGCACCCAUCGCUAAGGCUUUUGGGUGCGUUCGCAUUACUAGGGAAGCAUAAUUGAGAGCACAAAUAACAGGCUGCCAACAAUCAGUUCUGUGAACAAAUGAAUUCCUUGAGAUCCAUUUCUCAGCUACCAUAAAAAUAUCAUAAAAAACAAGCAUGGUAGAGUUCCUUUGCCAACUGCCACAAAAUUACCCUUUAAUUGCCUUUUACACUCAAUUUAUAACCAGGGAAAGCUUAAAUGAAGAUGAAAACUUUAGACUGUGUCUUGAAGGUCAAGUAGCUGAUCAUGAUGAAUGGCUAGGAACAGCACCUUGGGGGACAGCCAGCAUAUACCUGGUGGGUUUUACUUCUACUCCUGGUAUUUCCAGUCCCUCCAAACAUCUUUUCUUCUGCUUUCAGAGAUAAGAUAUUACAUUGCUCAUCCUUGUCUUGAGCCUCUCCCCUCCGGCUGACUUUGACAACUGAAUUUCCAUUAACCACAGCCGUGAUUGUAGGAAGCAUCCCUGCCCCAGUUCCCUCCAUACUGUCCACCCUUCCCCAUCACUCCUGGGCUCCUCUCCACCACAGCCAGUGCUGCACCCUCCUGCCCACCCCACACUGAGCUCUGCAGCCCCCCCCGAGAGCCUCAGCAGCAAAAUAGAAAAAGGAUAAAAAGGGCGGAUAACAUUUUCAGAUCAUUUUCCAUAGCUCUUCAAUUCAAUUUUAUGUGCUCUGACUGUUAAGCUAUGUUAGAGACAUCUUGUGCCAUUAGUUUGCACCCUCCUUGUUUGAUUUUCAAACUUGCAGUAGCUCCCCAUGUCACUGAAAUGCCCACCUUUUUGCCAUUUAUUUCUGUUUACUAGAUGUACCUAUAUCUUCUGCACUGAAAACUCUCUGUAUUGAUCUGAUAGUGCCAGCCUGCAUGCCUUCAGCUGCAAAAUUAUGCUAACUUGAGCAGCAUCAGGACAGUCUAAUCUGUAAACAUACCUCAACAAAAAUAAAUUCAUCUUUGAUUUGCCCCACACACACCAUUUCAUGCACAAUUCAUAAUUUAUACUAACUCACUAAUCUAUUAUGCAUUUUUACUUUGAUUAAGGCUAGGAGAAAUUGCACAUCAAAUAAAAUGUUGAAAGAAUGGAAGGAAAAGGUCUUUGAUUUUUGUGUCUACUAGGGGAAUUACAGGAAUUAUAGCACCCAAUUGAAAAAAAUGCAUACAUACAAAUAUAUAUAUGCAUAUACAAGCAUGGUAAAAGAUUUUCUUACUUACAACAAGAGCAAUUUAUAAAGAACCACAUUCUAUCAACAUGUACAUAAAACUCCAUAAAGGCAAGACCAGUUCUUGUUCCUUUAAAUAAGUUUCUGACAUUGCUUACCUUAUUUAUUUAUUUAUUUAUUAUUUUUGUCCUGGCUAGAGAUUCUAGUAUAUAUGUGGAGAACAGCAGAAAUCUGCAUACAAUUAAAAGCUGUGUAGUCAUAUUCUGUCCUAAUUUCCCAUACAUGUCCCUGAAGAGCCUAAGAUAUAUAAAUUACAGUAUCAUUUGGCUAACAACCUUUGGUGGCCAUGCUUAAUAACAUAACCUUCCCAGGAUUUAAUUAAGCAAGUUCAGAACAUGGAAAUUAGAAGAAAGGAGCCACUAGAGAAAAAUAAAUUUAAAGAGUCUCCCUUCAUUUUUACACUUUUAUGAUUUUAUUACCUUUACUAAGAAUGAGGGAAAAAUACAAGCAGAGUAGAUAAACAAUUACUGUUUAUCUUAAAUCCUACUCUUACUUUUUUUCUUCCCAAAACAGAGCAAAAAGACUCUGCUUUCAGUGUCAUACUCUUUAGAGUAUCUUGGAAAUGUCUUGAAUUUUCAUUCCACCAUCUUCAUGGGUACAACCCAUCUAGAAAGAGUAAUGUUAAAAAUUUCCUUCCUCUCUCUCAUAGUGCAUGGGGACUGGGGGACUGUGUAC